RNAcentral lists this transfer RNA (90 nucleotides) under Ignavibacteriota bacterium. RNAcentral describes it as "Ignavibacteriae bacterium tRNA-Ser". It matches the Rfam family "tRNA". Rfam says of the family: Transfer RNA (tRNA) molecules are approximately 80 nucleotides in length. Their secondary structure includes four short double-helical elements and three loops (D, anti-codon, and T loops). The record is from RNAcentral. RNAcentral also lists the same sequence under 3 other names. Lineage: Bacteria; Pseudomonadati; Ignavibacteriota.
AGAGAGAUGGCUGAGUGGUUGAAAGCGGCGGUCUUGAAAACCGUUGAGGCGGCAACGUCUCCGGGGGUUCGAAUCCCUCUCUCUCUGCUA